CGUAGGUGGCAAGCGUUGUCCGGAAUUAUUGGGCGUAAAGCGCGCGCAGGUGGGAUAUUAAGUCUGGUGUUAAAGUUCGGGGCUCAACCCCGUGAAGCAUUUGGAAACUGAUAUUCUUGAGUGCAGGAGAGGAAAGUGGAAUUCCUAGUGUAGCGGUGAAAUGCGUAGAUAUUAGGAGGAACACCAGUGGCGAAGGCGACUUUCUGGACUGUGUCUGACACUGAGGCGCGAAAGCUAGGGUAGUGAACAGGAUUAGAUACCCUGGUAAUCCUAGCUGUAAACGAUGGGUACUAGGUGUAGGGGGUAUCGACCCCUCCUGUGCCGGAGUUAACGCAAUAAGUACCCCGCCUGGGGAGUACGGCCGCAAGGUUG
RNAcentral lists this ribosomal RNA (372 nucleotides) under uncultured organism. RNAcentral's name for it is "bacterial SSU rRNA". It matches the Rfam family "Bacterial small subunit ribosomal RNA", at positions 526 to 896 of the family's 1533-position model. The record is from RNAcentral.